AUGGCACGAGACCUCUCUCAGUGCCUGUGGUUCUCACACACUCAGGCUAAGAACAGGGAGAUUGAGGCUACUUUGAAAGUCAACCGGAAAGUUGUGCUGCACUUGAAGGGUUUACAUCAUGACAGAUCUCAGCAUGGGGAAAUCCGGCACAGCGUGGCCCUGGACUUGGCCCAUUCCUACCAGCUGAGCUUCCCCCAGGCCCUGAACUUGGAUGGGGGCAUCAUCUUUAGACAGAGUCCCCAAGGAACUUUCAGCUUCGGUGUGGAUGGACGAGCUGCCGUCAACCACAGUGUCACAUCCCAGGUCUCGGUCCAGCUGAACGGAUCUGACUUCGACUUUGCAUUUUUCUUCCAGCUCAAGCAUCCCCACAGACCAACAUUUCCUCCAAACUUCCAGGUGCAGGCAGCUGCCGGGCGCUACAGAGUGUGCAGCCUCAACGGGUCUCUAUCUGUGCAUAUGUCUGGCCGGGAGCUGGUUCUGCUGGAGGUCGACGCCAGCCAGGACACUCGGAGAAACAGUCAGGGCUGGGGUGUGAGUGUCCUUCUCCACCAGGCUGUCCUCAGUGCCCCCAGGGUUGUUCGGCUGCAGCUGUCUGGAAAGAUCACCCCAGCAAGGAUUUGGCUGUUUUCCAAGGCACUGCUGGACCAGAACACAGCACAGCUGCUCCUCAAGGCAUCUGAGGAACGGAGGGGAGGCCGGGUCCUGACCUUACAGAGCCAAACCCGGCACACGGUGGCUGGCUGGGCAGCGAUGCCCCGCCUCCUGACACUCACAGGAAGGUUGAAGCAGAAGGAGACACUUCAAGAGGGCACCCUCAGGGUCACUGCUGACUCAGCUGUGCUGGGCGUCCUCCUGCGGGACAAGCACGAGAAGGCAGGGAACGGCACCAGCGUGCGCAGCGUGACCUGUGUCCUUGCCCAGAACAGCAGCCAGGCCUUGCCUGGAGAGCUCCAGCUGAAGGGCCGGCUGCAGGCCCAGACGAGGAACCUGAGGGCCCAGGCCAGCAUCCAGGCCCAUGCGGCCAGCCUGGCUCUGGGUGGUGCCUGCUCCUGGGGCCCCGGGCAUGGCCAGCUUGCGGUUGCCCUGACACACAAUAUCAGCACGCUGAGUGAUGCAGGACUCCCCUCUGAGGCAGGGAUGCUCUUGUCUCUUACCCACGUGGCUUCCAACUGCUCAGCACACCUGGCACUGCGGUGCUCGGGGAUUCAGCUAGAUGCUGCCCUUGGCCUAGAGGACCUGACCCCCGAGUCUCCAGGCCGCCAGCUCCAUGCCAGCCUCCGCCACACCCACACCAUGCCCAGCCUCAAGCACUGGGGCCUCCCCUUCUCCAUAGAUGGCCAGGGGCACUUCCAGGUGAGUGAGGAGGGGGCUGCAGCCGGGCCCUUCCAGGGGACACUGGGUCCCAGGGACACCCA
Molecule: long non-coding RNA, 1415 nt
Filed under: Piliocolobus tephrosceles (Ugandan red Colobus)
Lineage: Eukaryota; Metazoa; Chordata; Mammalia; Primates; Cercopithecidae
Description: lncRNA (ENSPTEG00000023438.1)
Source: RNAcentral